This 253-nucleotide ribosomal RNA is filed under the name uncultured bacterium. Its description in RNAcentral is "partial 16S ribosomal RNA". It matches the Rfam family "Bacterial small subunit ribosomal RNA", at positions 524 to 776 of the family's 1533-position model. The record is from RNAcentral.
UACGGGGGGGGCAAGCGUUGUUCGGAAUUACUGGGCGUAAAGGGCUCGUAGGUGGCCAACUAAGUCAGACGUGAAAUCCCUCGGCUUAACCGGGGAACUGCGUCUGAUACUGGAUGGCUUGAGGUUGGGAGAGGGAUGCGGAAUUCCAGGUGUAGCGGUGAAAUGCGUAGAUAUCGGGAAGAACACCCGUGGCGAAGGCGGCACUCUGGGACGGUACUGACGCUGAGACGCGAAAGCGUGGGGAGCGAACAGG